RNAcentral lists this microRNA precursor (104 nucleotides) under Marmota monax (woodchuck). The record is from RNAcentral. Lineage: Eukaryota; Metazoa; Chordata; Mammalia; Rodentia; Sciuridae.
AGUGGGAUAACUGGGACAAAUGGUGGUUCCAUUCCAAGUUUUCUGAGGAAUCUCCAUACUGCUUUUACAGAAUUGUUGUACCAAUUUGCAAUCCCACCAGCAGU